AGAUUGAACGCUGGCGGCAUGCUUUACACAUGCAAGUCGAACGGUAACAGGCCGCAAGGUGCUGACGAGUGGCGAACGGGGUGAGUAAUGUAUCGGAACGUGCCCAGUCGUGGGGGGAUAACGCAGCGAAAGCUGCGCUAAUACCGCAUACGAGUCUAUGGAUGAAAGCGGGGGACCUAAGGCCUCGCGCGAUUGGAGCGGCCGAUAUCAGUAUUAGCUAGUUGGUGGGGUAAAAGCCUACCAAGGCGACGAUCUGUAGCUGGUCUGAGAGGACGACCAGCCACACUGGAACUGAGACACGGUCCAGACUACCUACGGGAGCAGCAGUGGGGAAUUUGGACAAGUGGGACGCAAGCCUGA
RNAcentral lists this ribosomal RNA (360 nucleotides) under uncultured soil bacterium. RNAcentral describes it as "bacterial SSU rRNA". It matches the Rfam family "Bacterial small subunit ribosomal RNA", at positions 26 to 386 of the family's 1533-position model. The record is from RNAcentral.